ACCCUUGAAUUUUUUUUUUUUAUCGUAAGCCUCCUUCACCUCCACUGCCAACAAUCGAGCUGCCACCACCAGUUGCCCGCGAAGCUAGAAGAAACCCCAAUCCUCAAAACCCUCCAAAAUGAGUCUACUAAGAAACGCAGUCAAAUCGAGCUUCCCUGUCAGAGCUUUUAACCUAAAUCAUGCCGUCGCAUUCUGUCACCGCCAAUCGCCGAAACUUUUUUCCACCGAAGCCGAGCGACCACCAGCUUCAGAGGACUCUUCAAUCGAUCCAUUUCUUCAAACUACCGCCACAGGUAUGGUAUAUGGGAAGUUGUUUGGCAUCACAAGGCAGACUUUGAGGACUGACGUUAUCAAUUUGCUUGAGGGGUGCAAUUUGACACUUGAUGACAUUAAAGUCAACUACAACCGCGACUUUUUGCCUGUUGGAAUGUAAUCUUUCUUCAUUAAUUUCUAAAUUUAAAUUUCUGGCUUUCUGUUUUUGCAGUUGAGCGCUGCGUUCUGCUUGCUCUCAAUGGAAUAGAUAUGUCUCUAUAAUUAUUUCUCUUUCUAACAAAUAGAGUAUCUGUUGCUAAAUUACUUGUUCCUAAUUGACCUGCUUGCUUCAUGGAAUCUAUUAUUUCUGGUAUGUUUGGGAUUAAGGCUUAAUUGAGUUUUUAUUUUCCCUUAAUUAUUUCUUUCCCCGCUUAUAUUGUAACAUUUUUUUUAAUAAACUUGAAGGUUCUGUUCUCAGUUGUUUAUUUUUUUGUCAGGAUGAUACAAUUCCCUUCUCGUCUAGCAUUUGAUAAUGCAUUCAAGGUGAUUGCAAAAAAAGGACGCUUAUACAGAUUGGAGAAUGCUGACCGUUCUCAAUGGGAUUUUCUAAUGCCUCAUGAUGGAAAAACUGUAAGUUGAAUUUCUCCUUUUUGAAACUUUUUAGUCAUGAGUUUUACAUUUAAAAUGAUUGGUUGUUUUGAUGGUGGUGCAAUUGUCCACCGUUAGUCAAGCAUGUUUGUUAAGUACUCAAAGGAGCCAUAGAGCCUAGGGGAAUCGUGUGCUCUUAAGAGAGUUGAGGUGCACAAUUAAUAAAAUAAGACACAUAAUUCCCCCAAGACAACUAUUAAUAAGAUAAAACAUUUGAAUUCUAGCAUCAUUGUUUUUUUGAAAUAAAACUGAAGCUGUUAAAAAGUCUUAAACCAUAAUCCUACGUUCUACCAAAUGGCAAUAAUCCCUAAAAUGACCUUCAUGUAACUAUUCAUCAGUAACAGUAACAGUAACAGUCUUUUCCAUAAUCAUCAUCAUCUUCUAAUUCUUCUAUUCAAUUAAGAUAAAAAAUAAGGGGGCUGUGUUUCAAGACACAGUAAAAUUAGAGAGUGAAGAAAUUGGUUUUGGGGGCAUCACAUUUUGGAUUAAUUGAGUGAAGGAGUAAAUAGAUGAGGAAAAGAAAAAAUAGGACCAAGGAAAGGAGGGCUGGAAGGAAAAGAAAGGAAAUCAGAGUGAAGAACAAUAGAGAAGAUGGACAUGGAGUGAAAAAGAAUGGAGGAGAAGGAUGAUGAGGAGAGAGAUAGAGAGUACAAAUGUGAUUUAGUGCCACAGAAAUCCUAAAAAGUGUCAUCGUCCUGCUUCGUCUAAUGUUAUUGUCCAGUUAUAAUUAAAGCAACAUUCGUCUUUCUUGGUGUUUGUUGUUUCAAUUUGAUAUGUAUGCAUGAUCUCAUGGUAAGGUCACUUUUCAAUGGUUGAGAUUUCAUAAUCAACUAACACUAAAAAAGGUGCAGACUUUCAUAUGCCUAGGUGCUUACCUUGACGAUAAGGCACACACCCCAUGAAGGUUGCUUGCCUUUUAGUCUUUGAGGCACUCGGGUCUUUGGCUCUUUGGUCCUUGCUUCUUAGGCUUGUCUUUAACAUAUGACGUCGAAUAAUGUGAUUUGUCUUAGUGCUUAAAGCUUCAAUAACUAUUUAAGCUGUCAGCAAUUAUGCCUUGGCCUUGGAACUUUGAAAACUAUCUAUAUAUGAAAUUUGACAUUGAGUUAGGAGAAGCCACAUAUGGUGAUUUCACCAUUCAAGUUACUUUUGUGCUCACUUACAAUAUCUUGUAAGGUGUCUAUAUUUAGUUAUUUAUAUGUUUUGGUCAUAUUUCUAUUGUCUAAAGAAAGGGAGGGUAUGAUCACCAUGUGUAUGAGUAUUGUAACAAGCGCUUAUUUAUUUAUUUAAUAUUUAUUUAAAAAGUUUCGGGGAUUAACAAAUUUAGCAACUUCUCAUUAGUGUUACUUAAAGCUUCAGGCAUAAUGUUUAGUGGUCUCAUAGAGUUAACAUCAUAUUAACAUGCUAACGGAUGCAACUUUUUGGUUUGGAGAUGUUGUUCUGUUGACUUGUAUAUUGUUGUAUAAAUCAAUUCUAGGUGCCUGCAGAAACAUUUGCUCUAUAGAUAUUUGUUUUUUGAUUUGUGAUCAUUUAUCCUUUUCAGUUCUGAAGUUAUAUAAAAAAUGAAAUUAUGUUGAGAUCCAGAGAGUAUAUACUAUUUUGGGCAAGUUUCAAGACCUUGCUUCUACACAAGUAAUUAUUAGAUGCUACAUCUUCUGUAUGAUAAGUAAUUCCUUUAUCUAUUAGCUAAAACAGAAGCUGUUUCUUUAUCUUGCUUAAGAAACUCAUCUUUCUGGAUGUUCAUUGAACAUGAUUUGGAAGCUAUUGGUGUUUUGUGAUAUUUGUAUUGCAAGCCUGUCCACCACGUUACAGAGAAUUCUUCAGGUGUUACUUAGAAUGCUAGAAUUUGCUAACCUGUUGAAUUACUGAGGAUUUCUUUUGUUCUCACUGAAGUGUGGUUAUAUAUAAUAUUCAUGCUUUAUGCUGAGGUUUGCUUUGGCUUUGGAG
RNAcentral lists this unclassified non-coding RNA (2844 nucleotides) under Hevea brasiliensis (rubber tree). Lineage: Eukaryota; Viridiplantae; Streptophyta; Magnoliopsida; Malpighiales; Euphorbiaceae. The record is from RNAcentral.